GACGAACGCUGGCGGCGUGCCUAAUACAUGCAAGUCGAGCGAGCGGAACUAACAGAUUUACCUCGGUAAUGACGUUAGGAAAGCGAGCGGCGGAUGGGUGAGUAACACGUGGGGAACCUGCCCCAUAGUCUGGGAUACCACUUGGAAACAGGUGCUACUACCGGAUAAGAAAGCAGAUCGCAUGAUCAGCUUUUAAAAGGCGGCGUAAGCUGUCGCUAUGGGAUGGCCCCGCGGUGCAUUAGCUAGUUGGUAAGGUAAAGGCUUACCAAGGCGAUGAUGCAUAGCCGAGGUGAGAGACGGAUCGGCCACAUGGGGACUGAGACACGGCCCAAACUCCUGCGGGAGGCAGCAGUAGGGAAUCUUCCACAAUGGACGCAAGUCUGAUGGAGCAACGCCGCGUGAGUGAAGAAGGUUUUCGGAUCGUAAAGCUCUGUUGUUGGUGAAGAAGGAUAGAGGUAGUAACUGGCCUUUAUUUGACGGUAAUCAACCAGAAAGUCACGGCUAACUACGUG
Molecule: ribosomal RNA, 512 nt
Filed under: uncultured bacterium
Lineage: Bacteria
Description: partial 16S ribosomal RNA
Rfam family: Bacterial small subunit ribosomal RNA
Source: RNAcentral